GGAUGUUUUGUAGGUGUAUAAAAGCAGAAUAUUCCCAAAUGUAGCUUGGUCUCCUCCGUCCCAAAUUACUUUCCAGCCUCUGCACCCCUUUCUGUUAAUACUCUCAUCAGUUUACAGCUUGGAAACGUUGGUGGUCUAUAUCUGAUGCUAUUUCUUUCCCUUGUUCCCAUCGGUUGCCAAGUACUGUCGAUUCUGCCCGGCAGUAAUUCUAGUAUCCAAACACUCUCUUUACCUACUUCCUCCGCCUACUCAAAGUUCUCGUUAUCAUCCCCUGGAACGAAGGAAUGCAAUUCCUGUCUUUUUAAUGCCCUUCCUCUAGCCUCACUCGCCUACUUGCCCAUCUUACACUUUGCUGCAGGCGUAGUCAUCUUCAGGUACACUCGUGAUUGAAAAUCUUUACUGGCUUCCGGUUGUCUGUAGAUUAAAGGCCAAAUUUAUUAACUUUGGAUUCAGAAUUUUAAGUUUCUUUUCUGCUGCCCACCUUUCAUUCUCCUUUCACCCGUAACGAACCAGACCAUGUGAAGCACCUCAUUGUUGAACUACUCCUUACCUUUCUGUAAAGGCUCAUGUCUCUGCUUGGAAUACCCUCCUCUCCCGCUCAUCUCAGGAUGUUGAAAUUCUAUCCAUUAAAACUGAAUGAAGUAACAUCUCCCUCUAGAAAAAAUUUUCCUUCUACUUAUUGUCCAUUGUGCUUUCUGAACAUUCUUCAUAUAUUCAUUCAGGUAUUACCACUUUCUAACUUAGAAGUAAAAUAAUUUGUGUAGGAGUUCCCACUGUGGUGCAAUGGAAACGAAUCUGACAAGUAUCCAUGAGGAUUCAGAUUCGAUCCCUGGCCUCGUCAGUGGGUGGGGAAUCUGGCAUUGCCCUGAGCUGUGGUGUAGGUCACAGAUGCAGGUCAGAUCCCAAAUUGCUGUGGCUGUGGUGUGGGCCAGCAGCUGUAGCUUGAUUCGACCCCUAGCCUGGGAACUUAUAUAUGCUCCAGGCGCAGCCCUAGAAAGGAAAUAAUAAUAAUAAUAAUAAUUUGGAGUUCCCAUUGUGGCUCAAUGGUUAACAAAUCCGACUAGGAACCAUGAGGUUGCGGGUUCGAUCCCUGGCCUCACUCAGUGGGUCAGGGACCUGGCAUUGCCAUGAGCUGCGGUCCUACACCACAGCCACAGCAACGCAAGAUCUGAGCCAAAUCUGCAACCUACACCACAGCUCACGGCAACACCAGAUCCUUAACCCACUGAGGGAGGCCAGGGAUCAAACCUGAAACCUAGUUGGAUUCUUUUCCACUGUGCCACAGUGGCAACCCCCGAAACAAAUCUCUUAAGGUGCAUUUCAUCGGCAGAACCCAAGUCCAAAUGUCUUGUCCCUUAGCUAAAAGGAAAGCUGGACAGGUGAACUUCUAGUAUCCUCCUUGGAAAAGGAGGACUCAUAAAGUAGUAAAUUGAAUAGAAGAAAGAUAUUCAACAGCCGAAAAUAUGAGUUACCCACUGUAGUCUAGUUUACCAGUUACCAUACUUUGCUUUGUACUGUGGUUCGUUGCAUACAUAAAAUCACAAUGUUGAAGCAUUGAAAGGGAUUAUCUGGUUGCAUGUCUUUUUUUUUUUUUUCUUAGCAAACAUCCCAAGAGAUAAAAUGACUUCUCCAAGGUCAUAGAAUUAGUGGUAGAACUAGAAAUGUAACCUUCAGUCUUCGUUAAUUUAACAUAGAUUUUGAAUAUCUGUUAGAUGCCAAGUACUGAUCUAGGCCCUGAAAACACCAUUGGAUAAGAAUAAAAACCCUGCCCACAUAGAGCUUAUAUUCUAGUGGGGGAGAUAGAUGAUAAGAAAGUGAAUAUGU
Molecule: long non-coding RNA, 1824 nt
Filed under: Sus scrofa (pig)
Lineage: Eukaryota; Metazoa; Chordata; Mammalia; Artiodactyla; Suidae
Description: lncRNA (ENSSSCG00005017859.1)
Source: RNAcentral